This is a long non-coding RNA of Suricata suricatta (meerkat), 268 nucleotides long. RefSeq lists it as uncharacterized. The record is from RefSeq and is a predicted model, not a curated record. The transcript has 3 exons. NCBI's taxonomy places the organism in Eukaryota, Metazoa, Chordata, Mammalia, Carnivora, Herpestidae.
AAUGAACAGCCUACAAAUGAUCCUUGGGCUGGGCCGCCAUAUUGGGAUGAUGAUGUGAAAUGACACAUGGUAGGAUUGCUUCUGAAAAACAAAUAAAGGCGGUGGCCUGUUGCCCACACCCUCUCUCCUGUCUUCUGCCUCUCAGUGUCUGUUCCACGUGGUCCUGUCUGCCAAGCUGUGCCUCUUGCCUCUACGACCUGAUUCAGGAAUUUCUAAGUCAUUUUGUCCUGGAAGACUGGAUGACUGCCCCUGCUGUGACAUUCGCUGG